UGAGGAAUAUUGGUCAAUGGGCGGAAGGCUGAACCAGCCAAGUCGCGUGAGGGAAUAAGGCCCUACGGGUCGUAAACCUCUUUUGUCGGGGAGCAAUGGGUGACUUGCGAGUCAUCAGGGAGAGUACCCGAAGAAAAAGCAUCGGCUAACUCCGUGCCAGCAGCCGCGGUAAUACGGAGGAUGCGAGCGUUAUCCGGAUUUAUUGGGUUUAAAGGGUGCGCAGGCGGUACGGAAAGUCAGCGGUAAAAUUACGGAGCUCAACUCCGCCGAGCCGUUGAAACUUCCGCACUAGAGUGAGCGAGAAGUAAGCGGAAUGCGUGGUGUAGCGGUGAAAUGCAUAGAUAUCACGCAGAACGCCGAUUGCGAAGGCAGCGCACCGGCGCCCGACUGACGCUGAAGCACGAAAGCGUGGGGAUCGAACAGGAUUAGAUACC
This 434-nucleotide ribosomal RNA is filed under the name uncultured bacterium. RNAcentral's name for it is "bacterial SSU rRNA". It matches the Rfam family "Bacterial small subunit ribosomal RNA", at positions 355 to 786 of the family's 1533-position model. The record is from RNAcentral.